This is a long non-coding RNA of Panicum hallii, 847 nucleotides long. RefSeq lists it as uncharacterized. The record is from RefSeq and is a predicted model, not a curated record. NCBI's taxonomy places the organism in Eukaryota, Viridiplantae, Streptophyta, Magnoliopsida, Poales, Poaceae. The transcript is spliced from 3 exons.
UGUUGACUCUUGAUCUUUUGCGUUAAUAAGCAGAAUCCAAGAGGCAGAAUGAAGCUGCUGCAGAUGGUUUGGAUGGCUUUGAUACUGAUGAAGAAGAGGAUGAUGAAGUUGAGUCUGACAGAGAUUGGUCUUGAUAAUGAAGAUGGCGAUGGAGUAAUAAUUUCAAUCCUCAGAGUUUUGCGGAGGUGAGAGGUUUCCAUCGAGAAGAUUCAGAAGAUGAUUCUGAUGAUGAUUUUAGCGACGAUGAAGAGCUACAGACACCAAUAGAUGAGGUGGGCCCAUUUAUUUUCUUUGUCGAAACCAUCCAGGGUUUUCAAGCAUCUGAUCCAAGUAGGUUCCAGAGCCUUAUGCAGACUAUGCACGCCGAGGAAAGAAAAGCUGAAAUUGCAAAAGAGAAGUUGGAGAAGGCAACUGCACAGUGAUUACUACAGCAUGGUUGGGUCGUGUCUUGAGUUUUGCCGAUGCCUGGGACUGGCACGGGGCCAGAAUCCUGUCUGUGAUUUGGUGAUCGCAGGUGAGGGGUGUUUUUUUCGUUGCCUUGGCCUACCUGCUUUGGGGAGAUCAGUUUUGAGGCACACUAUUUCUAGGGGAAAUGGAUGGCAACCAUAGCGACUAGUGAGAGUCUGUCGGAGUUGGUUUCUUGAGUGGGUCAUGGUGGGGGUGUAUGUAUCAGUGAACACUGUGUUGCCGCUGUUUUCGGUUGAUGGGUCCUCUGCUAGAUGGUACACCGUGGGCACACCCACCACAAGGUCGCCGCCUGUAAGUUUCGGGGGUGUGAAUCUAAAUUAGAUACUUAUUAUUAUACCAUUUGUGUGCCCAACAAGGAUUAUACGACGGGUUUUUGUUU